GCAAAACGGCGUGGUACCAGCGGGGCGUUCGCAUAUGCAUUGCCUGUCACUUUUUGUGUACGACGCAUGCUAGUAUGACGAUUUCACGUGUUUUAUACGCCGGCUUCGCGCCUGUUGACACGCGAGACCACUUUCGAGGCGGUAAUCUGAAGAAAGGGCACCUUCUUCAGAAGGCGAAACAUGUGAAAUGCGUUCGCGAAGAUGUUUUCACGGACGGGACGUCAAAGAUAAGUGCGCAGUGCCUUGCCCAAACGAGCACACGCACGUACAACGUAACUGUUCAGCUUCAGUCACCUAGACCACGUGCAAUUCUCGAAGCACAUUGUACUUGUAAGGGAGGUGUGGCUGGCCGUUGUAAACAUGUAGCCGCCGUUGUUACUGCCAUAAACAACCCCGAAGACGACUCCUGCACUAGUGUGCCCCAAGCGUGGGGCAGGCCUGGAAGUCAAGCGUCAGGCAGCUACGUCCGGCUUCCUUUCGAAGAGCUUUAUCCAAGUGGUUCCAGGAAAGGGCAUUACGUCUAACAAGCACAGAGUGCCACAGAGUCAGAACAAGGGUAGCAGACUUCGAAAAACUUGCUGAAGCACUGAAAACCACCAGGCCACUGAGAACAGCGGCCACAGCAUACGGCACGCAGAUGGAGGGAGUUGCUGCAAAGGAGUUCCAGAGGAAGUUCCCAACAAUAGUGUAUCAGGCUGGGCUCUUGGUGCACCCUGAACAAAGAUGGCUAUGUGCAAGCCCGGAUGGGGUAGUGCGGCUGGCUGAUGGCCUUUAUUUGCUUGAAAUCAAAUGCCCAUUUGGCCGGAAAGGACAGCCAAUCAUUGAUUGCAAAUCUGAAACAAGCUACGUUCAGUACCUACAGUAUGAAGGAGGGAAGCUGGUGCUUAAAAAGUCGCAUCAAUACUAUACACAAGUGCAAAUUGCAAUGUAUGUCAUGAAUGUAACAGAGGCAUUCUUUUUUGUAUAUUCUGAUGCGCAGUCAGUGAAUGUGAUGGUAGAGCGUGACGAUGAUCUGCUUAGUGAACUUGUUCCAAAACUAGAGACAUUCUAUUUUACUCACAUGCUGCCAAGAAUGGCUCCCAGGUCUAAAUGAAUAUGUAAUUAGACCUUAAGU
Long non-coding RNA from Ornithodoros turicata, 1114 nucleotides. RefSeq lists it as uncharacterized. The transcript has 5 exons. Lineage: Eukaryota; Metazoa; Arthropoda; Arachnida; Ixodida; Argasidae. The record is from RefSeq and is a predicted model, not a curated record.